AGUGAACGCUGGCGGUAGGCCUAACACAUGCAAGUCGAACGGCAGCACAGUAAGAGCUUGCUCUUACGGGUGGCGAGUGGCGGACGGGUGAGAAAUACAUCGGAAUCUACUUUUUCGUGGGGGAUAACGUAGGGAAACUUACGCUAAUACCGCAUACGACCUACGGGUGAAAGCAGGGGAUCUUCGGACCUUGCGCGAUUGAAUGAGCCGAUGUCGGAUUAGCUAGUUGGCGGGGUAAAGGCCCACCAAGGCGACGAUCCGUAGCUGGUCUGAGAGGAUGAUCAGCCACACUGGAACUGAGACACGGUCCAGACUCCUACGGGAGGCAGCAGUGGGGAAUAUUGGACAAUGGGCGCAAGCCUGAUCCAGCCAUACCGCGUGGGUGAAGAAGGCCUUCGAGUUGUAAAGCCCUUUUGUUGGGAAAGAAAAGCAGCAGGUUAAUACCCCGCUGUUCUGACGGUACCCAAAGAAUAAGCACCGGCUAACUUCGUG
RNAcentral lists this ribosomal RNA (492 nucleotides) under uncultured bacterium. Its description in RNAcentral is "partial 16S ribosomal RNA". It matches the Rfam family "Bacterial small subunit ribosomal RNA", at positions 29 to 507 of the family's 1533-position model. The record is from RNAcentral.